This 448-nucleotide ribosomal RNA is filed under the name uncultured bacterium. Its description in RNAcentral is "SSU rRNA". It matches the Rfam family "Bacterial small subunit ribosomal RNA", at positions 26 to 518 of the family's 1533-position model. The record is from RNAcentral.
AGAACGAACGCUGGCGGCAGGCCUCAAACAUGCAAGUCUAGGGGACGUAGCAAUACGUCACCGGCGGACGGGUGCGUAACACGUGGGAAUGUACUUACUGGUUCGGAACAACUCAGGGAAACUUGAGCUAAUACCGAAUGUGCCCGAAAGGGGAAAGAUUUAUCGCCAGUAAAUCAGCCCGCGUCCGAUUAGCUAGUUGGUGGGGUAAAGGCUCACCAAGGCGACGAUCGGUAGCUGUUCUGAGAGGAAGAUCAGCCACACUGGGACUGAGACACGGCCCAGACUCCUACGGGAGGCAGCAGUUGGGAAUCUUGGACAAUGGGGGAAACCCUGAUCCAGCCAUGCCGCGUGAGUGAUGAAGGCCUUCGGGUUGUAAAACUCUUUCGACGGGGACGAUAAUGACGGUACCCGUAGAAGAAGCUCCGGCUAACUUCGUGCCAGCAGCCGC